GGGUGAGUAACACGUGGGUGAUCUGCCCUGCACUUUGGGAUAAGCCUGGGAAACUGGGUCUAAUACCGAAUACACCCUGCUGGUUGCAUGACCUGGUGGGGGAAAGCUUUUGCGGUGUGGGAUGGGCCCGCGGCCUAUCAGCUUGUUGGUGGGGUGAUGGCCUACCAAGGCGACGACGGGUAGCCGGCCUGAGAGGGUGACCGGCCACACUGGGACUGAGAUACGGCCCAGACUCCUACGGGAGGCAGCAGUGGGGAAUAUUGCACAAUGGGCGCAAGCCUGAUGCAGCGACGCCGCGUGGGGGAUGACGGCCUUCGGGUUGUAAACCUCUUUCAGUAGGGACGAAGCGCAAGUGACGGUACCUACAGAAGAAGGACCGGCCAACUACGUGCCAGCAGCCGCGGUAAUACGUAGGGUCCGAGCGUUGUCCGGAAUUACUGGGCGUAAAGAGCUCGUAGGUGGUUUGUCGCGUUGUUCGUGAAAACCGGGGGCUUAACCCUCGGCGUGCGGGCGAUACGGGCAGACUGGAGUACUGCAGGGGAGACUGGAAUUCCUGGUGUAGCGGUGGAAUGCGCAGAUAUCAGGAGGAACACCGGUGGCGAAGGCGGGUCUCUGGGCAGUAACUGACGCUGAGGAGCGAAAGCGUGGGGAGCGAACAGGAUUAGAUACCCUGGUAGUCCACGCCGUAAACGGUGGGUACUAGGUGUGGGUUUCCUUCCUUGGGAUCCGUGCCGUAGCUAACGCAUUAAGUACCCCGCCUGGGGAGUACGGCCGCAAGGCUAAAACUCAAAGGAACUGACGGGGGCCCGCACAAGCGGCGGAGCAUGUGGAUUAAUUCGAUGCAACGCGAAGAA
Molecule: ribosomal RNA, 854 nt
Filed under: uncultured bacterium
Lineage: Bacteria
Description: bacterial SSU rRNA
Rfam family: Bacterial small subunit ribosomal RNA
Source: RNAcentral